CAGUUUUCGUUCAUUUUUUAUUCAUUUCUAUUACAUAUAUAGAGUGAAUAGCUAAUGAUCGAGUAAUCUGACGCGCAUGCGCUAACAUUCUAGAACAAAAGCAGUUGUUUUGUCAGGACGAUCAACAUUUUUGAGGUUACAUACAUCGCAGUGACCUGUCAUUUGAACUUAUGACGAUUGGUCAACCUGAUAAAACAA
Molecule: long non-coding RNA, 198 nt
Organism: Diprion similis
Lineage: Eukaryota; Metazoa; Arthropoda; Insecta; Hymenoptera; Diprionidae
Exons: 3
Source: RefSeq, a predicted model, not a curated record